Molecule: ribosomal RNA, 2713 nt
Filed under: Zoanthus sansibaricus
Lineage: Eukaryota; Metazoa; Cnidaria; Anthozoa; Zoantharia; Zoanthidae
Description: large subunit ribosomal RNA
Rfam family: Bacterial large subunit ribosomal RNA
Source: RNAcentral
GGUUUGAGUAAAAAGAGUGACGAAUGGAGAACUAGGGUGCACUAAAGAGGACGGAGCCCCGAAAUGGCGGAGGAGAGACUUUGAAGCCCUAAUGUCCCGUGCGGCAACGCAGUGGGGGGGCCAGGGGAGUGAAACAUCCCAGUACCAGGCCCCCCACCCCCCCCCCCCCCAUAGCGGGGUGUUUGAGGGGGGGCACAGUAAAAAUCAAACGAGAUUCCGUAAGUAGCGGCGAGCGAAAGCGGACGAGCCCUUUCCGGCGGGCGAGUAGUGAUGGGAAGAUGGGUGUCCACACAUCCAAGGCUUAAUAAUUAGUGUCACACCGAAAGAGGGGAGUACUGUGAAGGAAAGUUGAAAGAGACUUGCGGCCGUGGGUUACGCCAGUGACCUACGGCCACUUGAAAAGACCUUGAAAUGAGUCACUUAAAGCAGUUGUAACACAACGUACCUUUUGUAUAAUGGGUCCACGAGAUAAAAUUUGGCAAACUUAAAGUGCAAUCUUUGAUUAAGAUUCCUGGCAAUCUUCCUUGGAAGACUCGCUAGGGAUCUCGCAGCGUACCCCGCAGGGGAUGGCUGGGGGGAUUGUUCUUGGCCCCCUAAGGUGUAGUGAAAGCAAGGCGCCGCGAUGGCGGCCCCCUCAGUCAAAUUUCCCGAAACCAAGUGAUCUAGCCAUGGGCAGUUUUUAGGAACGAACCGGUGGUUGUUGCAAAAAUCUCGGACGACCUGUGGUUAGGGGCGAAACGCCAAUCGAACUUGGAGAUAGCUGGUUUUCUGCGAAAACUAUUGAAGUAGUGCGUCCACAGUAAUGAGUCGAAUAAUCAAGAUUAUGACCCAAAAGGGGAGUGAUUAUUCGAUGAGAAUGGCUUGGAAUGUGGUAAAGCCCGACCCCCCGAAGCCGGGGGGUUAACUAUGAAGAAAAAAAGCAAGAGUAGGACAGACAGACUGUGGGCGAUAAGGUCGACAGUCAAAAGGGGAGAAGCCCUAACAAGAAGUUAAAGUCAUUAAUAAAAGAUUUAGUGUAAAAGAGAUAUUGGGUUUAGACAAUGAAGAAGUAGGCUUGGAGCCAGCCACCUUUGAGAGAUGACGUAGCAGUUCACUCAAGAAAUUAUUUUAUCUCGAAAAUUAUGGUGGCUGAAGUUGAACUGAAACUCUGGGGGAGAAAUAACAAACUUUCCGUUACCUCCUUCAGACAAGGGGGGAGAAAUAACAAACUUUCCGUUAUAUUUGCCCGGUAGCAGAACGUACUGUUAAUUGUUCAGUGAGAGCCCCGUACGGCAUCAGAAGUGAUAAUGUGGACAUGAGUAAAAAAUCAUAGGAUCACUCCCCCCCUGGUUUCCCAUAUUAAUUAUGGGGUUAAACAGCCCCUAAAAUCGCAGUCCCAAAGGUUGCGUUGAUGGGGGGCCAUGAGUAAUAGACGCACAAAGUGCCAGGAAAGAAUUAUUCAAGCCCUUCCCAGAAGGUAUCCUUCUGGCAAGGGUACUGUACUAAACUAACUAAAGUGGGGGAUAGUGAGGGGAUAAAUUUUCUUAAGGAACUCGGCAAAAUCCCAAUGGCCCACCAGGGCACAUAUUGGAACACGGGCCUCGACUGUUUACCAAAAACAUAGCCCUCGGCUAAUAUGAAAAUAGAUGUAUAGAGGGUGAUGCCUGCCCAAUGGUUGUAUCUAAAAGCGGUUGAUAAAAGUUGACCUCGUAAGGACAAUUGAAUGGCCGCGGUAACACUGACCGUGAUAAUGUAGCGUAAUCAAUAGCCAAUUAAUUGUUGGCCAGUAUGAAUGGCGCCACGAAGGCCCCACUGUCUUAAGGAAAUUCCCAGUGAAAUUGAAUUCGUAGUGAAGAUGCUACGUCCAAUUUGUUAGACGAAAAGACCCCGUUGAGCUUUACUGGAGCACUUACAUGGCCCCGGCCUUCCCAUGCCUGGGAACCGGCCGAAUUUAAAUGGGCGGCUUAGAUUAUGUGGCAGCCCCCCGCUUGGGGCAAAUGAAACACCACUCCCCCAUGUCAAAGGGGCUAACCCCCCCCCCUUGGGGGGACAGUGUAAGUAGGACAGUUUGGUUGGGGCGACCACCUUUUAAAAAGUAACGAAGGUGCGCUUAAGGUGCGCAAUUAAUGACUGAAGCCUGACUGCGAGGGGGACACCCCGAGCAGACACCCCAAAGCCCGCCCGAAAGGCGGCGGUGGGGUGGGCCAUAGUGACCCGUUAAUUUAGAGUGGAAUAGUUAACGAUCAACGAAUAAAAGUUACCACGGGGAUAACAGCGUAAUAUCGUUAGAGAGUUCACAUCGACGACGAUGUUUGCGACCUCGAUGUUGAAUUGCGGCAUCCUGGGGUGCAGCCGCUCCCAAGGGUUGGUCUGUUCGUCCAUUAAAGCCGUACAUGAUUUGAGUUAAAAGCGUGGUAACACAGCUUGGUUUCUAUCUACAAAUUGAAGAAACAUCGAUAUAACUAUCUUCUAGUACGAAAGGACCGAAGGAUUAGUGAUCCUCUUAUUUUUUAUAAGUUACGAUCAACCCAUUGACCUCAAGUAACCGGAGGUUGCAACAGAGGUCUCUCAGCUAAUCACUGACCGCUUCUAAAGUGGGAAAGUCAUAUCGAAAUGUUUGGGGCCCAUUAUAGGGGGGCUAAAACUAUAAAUCACGAGUCUAAGACUGUCCCUUAUAGGGGCGCAGCCUCAAGGCCCUGCAACCUUCGUUGAAGGUUCCAGUCUACGAAGUAGA